This 751-nucleotide non-coding RNA is filed under the name Daphnia similis. The record is from RNAcentral. Lineage: Eukaryota; Metazoa; Arthropoda; Branchiopoda; Diplostraca; Daphniidae.
GAAAAGUUUGAAUCUGGCUUUCAUUCUGUUUUAAAUUAAAUCUAUAUAUAAUUAUUAAAUUUUAAGAUUAUUUUGAGGUAUGUAGUAGAUAAUUUUAGGAAACAAUUUAUUUGGGCCUAGUUAAAUUUAUAAGAUUGACUAAAAUCGUGCCAGCCGUCGCGGUUAGACGAAGAAUCUAAAUAGAAUAUUUUAUUUUUUAAUUAACAGUUAAUAACCCAGAGUAAACUUUCUUCUUUUUUUAGGUGAAAUUUUUACAAAGAAAAAGAAAGUCUUAAUUUAUUGUAAGGAAUUAAAAAGUGAAGAUAAAAAACCAGGAUUAGAUACCCUGUUAUUCUUCAUCAUAUUUAAUAGGGUAGUAAAAGUUGUUCUUCAAACCCAAAGAUUUUGGCGGCAUUUUAACUAAACAGAGGAGCUUGUCUUAUAAUCGAUAACCCCCGUUAAAUCUUACCUUUAUUUGUCUAGCUUGUAUACCUCCGUUGUCAGAUUACUCUAAAAGGAUGUUUUCUGUAAGAAUUAUUUUCUUACUUCAGGUCAAGGUGCAGUUUAUGUAAAGGCAUAGAUGAGCUACAAUUUUUAUAAAAAUACGAAUCUUAAAUUAAAAUUUGAUUGAAGGUGGAUUUGUUAGUAAACUUGUUUAAGGAAAAUAGGUUGAAUAUAGCAAUAGAAUGUGCACAUAUCGCCCGUCACUCUCCUUUUAAGAGGAGAUAAGUCGUAACAAAGUAGAUGUACUGGAAAGUGUCUCUAGAAAGUA